GGUAGAGCAGCUCAUUCGUAAUGAGCAGGUCGGCGGUUCGAGUCCGCCAAAAGGCU
Molecule: transfer RNA, 56 nt
Filed under: Prolixibacteraceae bacterium
Lineage: Bacteria; Pseudomonadati; Bacteroidota; Bacteroidia; Marinilabiliales; Prolixibacteraceae
Description: tRNA-Ser
Rfam family: tRNA
About the family: Transfer RNA (tRNA) molecules are approximately 80 nucleotides in length. Their secondary structure includes four short double-helical elements and three loops (D, anti-codon, and T loops). Further hydrogen bonds mediate the characteristic L-shaped molecular structure. tRNAs have two regions of fundamental functional importance: the anti-codon, which is responsible for specific mRNA codon recognition, and the 3' end, to which the tRNAs corresponding amino acid is attached (by aminoacyl-tRNA synthetases). tRNAs cope with the degeneracy of the genetic code in two manners: having more than one tRNA (with a specific anti-codon) for a particular amino acid; and 'wobble' base-pairing, i.e. permitting non-standard base-pairing at the 3rd anti-codon position.
Source: RNAcentral